This is a long non-coding RNA of Stomoxys calcitrans (stable fly), 555 nucleotides long. RefSeq lists it as uncharacterized. NCBI's taxonomy places the organism in Eukaryota, Metazoa, Arthropoda, Insecta, Diptera, Muscidae. The record is from RefSeq and is a predicted model, not a curated record. The transcript has 3 exons.
CUUUAGUAAUACUUUUAUUGUGGUUAUUUAUUCCAUUGGAUUAGUUUUCUUUGAUGCGUUUGAGUGAUUAUGCUGCGAAUCAAUCUAAAGAUCAAUCAUCACCGGUGUUUCCUACGGUUGCGAGAAAUUUACUGUGGAGCUCACCGCCAGUUUAUUGCGAACCGUGCUUGAGUUAACAACGUCUUUUACUAUUUGGUAAGUGAAUGGAACGCGGACUAAGCAACCGACGGGAAAAAGUGAAGAGACCACCACAAACAGUGUUAGUGACAAAAAACGGAGAGAUUGGAGCAAAAUAACAAGAAAAAAAAAACCAUCAACAACUUCGAAACCGGCAGUUUUGUUUGUUUCCCUAGAAACAAGUGUUUGGUUCUUUUUCUUGUACAGAUGACUUUAGAAAACAAAACUAAAUAGAUCAUACCAGCAAGAGAAAUGUUUUGAUGAAAAAAAUAUAAUAGGAAAAAUUGGGGCUACCGACAAUAUUGCUCUUCAACAAUUUGAUGCAAAGAAGUGAUAAAAAGAAAAUUUCAAUUUGCUGAAUUCCAUGAUUAUACUUAU